ACGAACGCUGGCGGCGUGCCUAACACAUGCAAGUCGAGCGAGAAAGGGACUUCGGUCCCUGGAGAGCGGCAGACGGGUGAGUAACACGUGGGUAACCUGUCCCUAGGUGGGGGAUAACCACUCGAAAGGGUGGCUAAUACCGCAUAAGACCACGGCCUUUUGGGGCUGAGGUCAAAGGCGCAAGUCGCCAAGGGAGGGGCCCGCGGCCGAUUAGCUAGUUGGUAGGGUAACGGCCUACCAAGGCAGUGAUCGGUAGCUGGUCUGAGAGGAUGAUCAGCCACACUGGUACUGAGACACGGACCAGACUCCUACGGGAGGCAGCAGUGGGGAAUAUUGCGCAAUGGGCGAAAGCCUGACGCAGCAACGCCGCGUGGGUGAUGAAGGCCUUCGGGUCGUAAAGCCCUGUCAGAUGGGACGAAGAAAGUGACGGUACCAUCGAAGGAAGCACCGGCUAACUCCGU
This 461-nucleotide ribosomal RNA is filed under the name uncultured bacterium. RNAcentral describes it as "bacterial SSU rRNA". It matches the Rfam family "Bacterial small subunit ribosomal RNA", at positions 29 to 506 of the family's 1533-position model. The record is from RNAcentral.